GUAAAACCAAAGACAGGCAGCCCGGCGCCAGGCCUGAAACCAGGCCUGGGCCUGCCUGGCCUAAACCCAGUAGUUAAAAAUCAACUCAUAACUUAGAAACUGAUGUUAUUCAUAGAUUCCAGACAUUGUAUAGAAGAACAUUGUGAAACUCCCUGUCCUGUUCUGUUUCUCUCUGACCACCGGUACAUGCAGCCCCUGUCAUGUACCGCCUGCUUGCUCAAAUCAAUCACGACCCUUUCAUGUGAAAUCUUUAGUGUUAUGAGCCCUUAAAAGGGACAGAAAUUGUGCAUUCGGGGAGCUUGGAUUUUAAGGCAGUACCUUGCCAAUGCUCCCAGCUGAAUAAAGCCCUUCCUUCUACAACUAGGUGUCUGAGAGGUUUUGUCUGCGACUCGUCCUGCUACAUUUCUUGGUUCCCUGACCAGGAAGCGAGGUGACUGACGGACGGCCGAGGCAGCCCCUUAGGUGGCUUAAGCCUGCCCUGUGGAGCAUCCCUGAGGGGGACUCUGGCCAGCCUGAGUGAUGUGGUCCGAAGAGCGCUUGGGUAGGAAAUUGCCCCUGUGGAAUGCCUCGUCAGAGCAGCGCAUAGCAGGCCCCCACGGAGGAUUAACACAGUGGCUGAACACUGGGAAGGAACUGGCCCUUGGAGUCCAGACAUCUGAAACUUGCUCUCAAGAGUUUGGGGUUUUUGAGGUUUGCCAUGGUACAUCAAUAGAAUAUCAAAUGACAGGAUAAGACCUAGAAGACAAAUGUAAAAUUCCAAAAUGCAUGCUGUGGAUGAAUGUAGCAAUAUGAGAUGAGUACUAUUUGGGAUGCAGAAAGCAAUAUUUAACUGAUCAGCUGCCACUCACAUCAUGAAUCAGAAGCAGCCUUAAAAGAAAGGAUCCCUUCUUGCUAUUUUGAAGGGAAAUAACUGAGUCCUUUGGAGCUGAAAAUGAAAAACUGAGUAGCUGGUGGAAGAAGCGAGAUGGGUUUGGAACUCACAGGCUAUGUUUCUGGAUGCAUCACAUUUGCAAGAGGGAAGUUUUGGUGUCCCUGUGGGUAUAUUAGCACUCCUUUACUCCAUUUCUCUGUAGCUACUCAAGCAAGUGACAAGCUGCAGAGUCCAAGAAAGGUGACAGAUAUGAAGAAAUGCAGUGGUUGCAAAGGACAAAGACAAUGGCAACACAAAUAAAAGAAAUUAUGAGAAGGAAAUAAAUAUUAAAAAAAAAACCCAAACGUUUGUUGAUGUAAACUGAAAAUAAAUUUGGAAUGAGCUGUGUGCACUUGGAAAUGAGAAGCUCUGUCCUGCACCAUGAAGGGCUUUGUGUGCAUCCAUGGGUUGCUUCUGCAUGCAGAAUGAGACUGGAACAAAAAAGAACCAUUUAAAACACAGGAUCCAGGUGAUUCAGGAUUUUAAAUUGAAGAUUGAUCAUACAAGCUGGAAGACGUCCCAUGACACUUUAUUUGAAAUUGGAACAUCAGAAUUUGGUUGGGUCUAUCUUUUACUAACUCUGUACCAUGAAAAAAUUAUUUAAUAUUUCUGAACUGUGUAAAGAAUAAAAUUAGAUUAUGAAUUCAAUCUGUUGCUGCAUAAUCAAUUACCUCCAAUCUUAGCAGCUUCAAACAACAAACAUAAAUAAACUUAGUUUCUGCAGCUCAGGAAUUCAGGAGUUUAGCUAGAUGGUUCUGGCUUGGAGUCUUCCAUGAGGUUGCCAUCUAGAGGUCAGCCAAGGCUGCAGUCAUUUGAAGGUUUGACUGGGGCUUGAGAAUUCACUCUCAUGGCUAGUCACAUGUUCACUUCUGUGUUGGCUGUUGGCAGGAAUUUUCAGAACCUUGCCAUGUGGGUCUCUCCAUAUGGCUGCUUAAGCAUCCUCAUGACACGUCAGCUGGUCUCCCCAGUGGGAGUGAUCGAAGAGACAGAAGCAAGAAUGUCUUCAAUGACCUACCCUUGUAAGUCACAUACCUCACUUUCACCUAAUCCUCAAAAGGAGAGAGUUAGACUCCACCUUUUGGAGGCAAGAAUGUCAAAGAAUUUGUGGACAUAUUUCAAAACCAUCACUGGAUCAUAUAUGUGAAAAUAAACACUUACAAAAAAUAAAGUGCUAUAAAUGGGAUACAUUCAGAUAAGGAACCCUUCUUUCAAUGCCAUCCCAGAAUUCCCUCAGCUUAAUUCUCCCAGAAGCUUCAAGACCUUCUAAAAUUGUUUGGGCUUGGUCUUUAUAGUCUGGAGGCACCAAAAGCCUGAGAUUUGUAUAGAUUAAGGAAGAAUCAGAAUCUAAGAGACAUUAAAUGACUAGCCAAAGAUCACACUGCUAGUUGGUGGAAGUCCGAGGAGUUUGUCCUAAGUGUGCCUAACUUCAAAUCCCCUCAUCUUAAUCAUUGUGUCACAUCAUGUCAUAAAAAUGGAUGAAAGAAGAAAGAAGACACAAACACCCAGUAUUAUUUUAGGACAAUUUCAUGGCAUUAAGUGUGGAUUUUCGUUUUAGCUAACAUUUUCAUGAAGGAAAAUCUUUGAGGAUGUUCUCUCCAUUAAAAAAAGAAGGAAAAAAACUCAAGAUAAUUAUAGAUUUACAUGCAGUUGUAAAAGUUAGUAAUGUAAAGAGAAGGCUUGUACACUUUGCCUAAUUUCCCCAGUGGUAACUUUUUUAGAGCUAUAGUAUGAUAUCACAACCAGGAUAUUGACAUCAGUCAAUCCACUGAUCUUAUUCAGUUUUCCUAAGUUUACUCUUUAAUGUGUGUGUGAAGUUCUACACAAUUUUAUUACUCGUAUAAGUUCGUGUAUCAUCACCCUGGUUAAAAUACUGAGGGGUUCCAGUGCCACAAGGAUCCCUCCUAUUCUUUUUGAGCCACACCCAUUCCCCUUCUUCCCCAAUUUCUCCACCUCCCUUUCUAACUAUCUGCCACUAGUCUGUCCUCCAUUUCUAAAAUUUUGUCAUUUCAAAAAUUUAAUAUAAGUGGAAUUAUGUAGUAUACAACAAUUUGGAGUUUUGUUUUUGCUCAACAUGAUUUCCUAAAGAUUCAUUCAAGUAGUUCUGUAUAUCGAUAGUGUAUUUCUUUUUAUUGCUGAGUAGUAUUACAAUUUUGUUUAACCAUUCAACUCUUUUUUGUUAGUUUCUUUUUGUUUUUGAGAUGGAGUCUGUUGCCCAGGCUGGAAUGCAGCAGCGCGAUCUCUGCUCACAGCAACCUCUGCCUCCUGUGUUCAAGCUAUUCUCCAGCCUCAGCCUCCUGAGUAGCUGAGAUUACAGGCGUGAGCCACAGCGCCCACCCUAGCCAUUCAACUCUGAAGCACAUCUGGGUUGAUACCAGUUUUGGGCUGUUACAAUAAAACUUCUAUGAACAUUCACGCACAAAUUUUUGUGGGAACAUACGUUUUCAUUUCUCUAGGAUAGAUGUACAGGAAUAAAAUUCUGGGUCAUAUGGUAGUUGCAUGUUUAAAUAUUUAAGAAACUGCUAAACUGCUUUCCAGAGUGUCUGUACCAUUUCACAGUCCUAAAAGCGAUGUAUGAAUGAUCCAGUUUCACCAUUUCCUCAUCAGCAUUUGGUGUUGUAAUUCUCAUUUUAAUAAUGCUUAUAGAUGUGUGGUGAUAUCUCAUUAUGGUGUUCAUUUGUAUUUCUCUAAUGACCAAUAAAUAUUUAACAUAUUUCCAUGUGCCUGCUUUUUUGCCAUUUUAUAUCCUCUUUGGUCUAUAAUGCCUUUUGUCCAUUUUCUAAUUAAAUAUUUAUGUAUUGUUGAGUUUUCAGAGUUCUUUAUAUAUUCUAGAUAUUAUUCCUUUGUCAGCUAUGUGGUUUUAAAAUAUUUAUUUCUAUCUUGUAGCUUGUAAUUUCAUUUUCCUCACGUGGACUUUCACAAAGCAAGUGUUUUUAUUUUUGAUAAAAUCAGAUUUGUCAAGUUUUCCUUCUGUGGAUCAUGAUUUUGUUGUCAAGUCCAAUAACUGUCUGCCUAGCUCCAGAUCCCAAAGUUUGCUCCUGUG
This 3950-nucleotide long non-coding RNA is filed under the name Homo sapiens (human). RNAcentral describes it as "HSALNT0056305". The record is from RNAcentral. Lineage: Eukaryota; Metazoa; Chordata; Mammalia; Primates; Hominidae.